UCACUUUAACACUGAGGCGUGACGACGAGGCACUACGGUGCUGAAGCAACAAAUGCCCUGCUUCCAGGAAAAGCCUCUAAGCAUCAGGUAACAUCAAAUCGUACCCCAAACCGACACAGGUGGUCAGGUAGAGAAUACCAAGGCGCUUGAGAGAACUCGGGUGAAGGAACUAGGCAAAAUGGUGCCGUAACUUCGGGAGAAGGCACGCUGACACGUAGGUGAAGUGAUUUACUCAUGGAGCUGAAGUCAGUCGAAGAUACCAGCUGGCUGCAACUGUUUAUUAAAAACACAGCACUGUGCAAACACGAAAGUGGACGUAUACGGUGUGACGCCUGCCCGGUGCCGGAAGGUUAAUUGAUGGGGUCAGCGCAAGCGAAGCUCCUGAUCGAAGCCCCGGUAAACGGCGGCCGUAACUAUAACGGUCCUAAGGUAGCGAAAUUCCUUGUCGGGUAAGUUCCGACCUGCACGAAUGGCGUAAUGAUGGCCAGGCUGUCUCCACCCGAGACUCAGUGAAAUUGAACUCGCUGUGAAGAUGCAGUGUACCCGCGGCAAGACGGAAAGACCCCGUGAACCUUUACUAUAGCUUGACACUGAACAUUGAGCCUUGAUGUGUAGGAUAGGUGGGAGGCUUUGAAGUGUGGACGCCAGUCUGCAUGGAGCCGACCUUGAAAUACCACCCUUUAAUGUUUGAUGUUCUAACGUGGACCCGUAAUCCGGGUUGCGGACAGUGUCUGGUGGGUAGUUUGACUGGGGCGGUCUCCUCCUAAAGAGUAACGGAGGAGCACGAAGGUUGGCUAAUCCUGGUCGGACAUCAGGAGGUUAGUGCAAUGGCAUAAGCCAGCUUGACUGCGAGCGUGACGGCGCGAGCAGGUGCGAAAGCAGGUCAUAGUGAUCCGGUGGUUCUGAAUGGAAGGGCCAUCGCUCAACGGAUAAAAGGUACUCCGGGGAUAACAGGCUGAUACCGCCCAAGAGUUCAUAUCGACGGCGGUGUUUGGCACCUCGAUGUCGGCUCAUCACAUCCUGGGGCUGAAGUAGGUCCCAAGGGUAUGGCUGUUCGCCAUUUAAAGUGGUACGCGAGCUGGGUUUAGAACGUCGUGAGACAGUUCGGUCCCUAUCUGCCGUGGGCGCUGGAGAACUGAGGGGGGCUGCUCCUAGUACGAGAGGACCGGAGUGGACGCAUCACUGGUGUUCGGGUUGUCAUGCCAAUGGCACUGCCCGGUAGCUAAAUGCGGAAGAGAUAAGUGCUGAAAGCAUCUAAGCACGAAACUUGCCCCGAGAUGAGUUCUCCCUGAGACUUAGAGUCUCCUGAAGGAACGUUGAAGACGACGACGUUGAUAGGCCGGGU
This 1345-nucleotide ribosomal RNA is filed under the name Salmonella enterica subsp. enterica serovar Typhimurium. RNAcentral describes it as "partial 23S ribosomal RNA". It matches the Rfam family "Bacterial large subunit ribosomal RNA", at positions 1545 to 2866 of the family's 2925-position model. The record is from RNAcentral. Lineage: Bacteria; Pseudomonadati; Pseudomonadota; Gammaproteobacteria; Enterobacterales; Enterobacteriaceae.